RNAcentral lists this unclassified non-coding RNA (294 nucleotides) under Hevea brasiliensis (rubber tree). The record is from RNAcentral. Lineage: Eukaryota; Viridiplantae; Streptophyta; Magnoliopsida; Malpighiales; Euphorbiaceae.
AAAACUGACCCGACCACUAGGACCUAUAAACAAUAACUUGCUAAUAGGCUGAAAGGAGACAAGCACAGUAAACUUAGUUACAAAGGCUCAUAAAUAAUUACAAUAGCCCUAUUAUUAGCUGUUUUCCGUACACUGCAACAAGGGAAAAAACAACCAAUUCGAAAAGGAGUAAGAUACAAGGGAAACCUGCAUAAAACCUUCCAAAUCCCAACUUUUCAUUCGUCUCCUUUUGUGGAAUCUGCUGUCUUGGUUUCAUUAUUAUGUACAACCUGAGCAGGCAAAUCAUCCUUAGUG